AGAGUUUGAUCAUGGCUCAGGACGAACGCUGGCGGCGUGCCUAACACAUGCAAGUCGAGCGGAGGUACUUGAGGAGUAAUCUGAGGGUGCUUUAGCGGCGGACGGGUGAGUAACGCGUGAGCAACCUGCCUUUCACAGGGGGAUAAGGCGGCGAAAGCCGCUCUAAUACCGCAUGAGACCACGGUAUGAUGUACCAGGGGUCAAAGGAGCAAUCCGGUGAAAGAUGGGCUCGCGUCCGAUUAGGUAGUUGGUGGGGUAAAGGCUCACCAAGCCAAUGAUCGGUAGCCGGCCUGAGAGGGUGAACGGCCACAUUGGAACUGAGAGACGGUCCAAACUCCUACGGGGGGCAGCAGUGGGGAAUAUUGGGCAAUGGGGGAAACCCUGACCCAGCAACGCCGCGUGAGGGAAGAAGGUUUUCGGAUUGUAAACCUCUGUUCUUGGGGAAGAGAAGAAGACGGUACCCAAGGAGGAAGCCCCGGCUAACUACGUGCCAGCAGCCGCGGUAAUACGUAGGGGGCAAGCGUUGUCCGGAAUGAUUGGGCGUAAAGGGCGCGCAGGCGGCCUAUCAAGUCAGUAGUGGAAGUCCAGCUUUCAAGGUUGGAAGUGCUAUUGAAACUGAAUGGCUUGAGUGCAGGAGAGGUUAUCGGAAUUCCCGGUGUAGCGGUGAAAUGCGUAGAGAUCGGGAGGAACACCAGUGGCGAAGGCGGGUAACUGGACUGCAACUGACGCUGAGGCGCGAAAGUGUGGGGAGCAAACAGGAUUAGAUACCCUGGUAGUCCACACAGUAAACGAUGAAUGCUAGGUGUAGGGGGUAUCGACCCCUUCUGUGCCGGAGUAAGCACAAUAAGCAUUCCGCCUGGGGAGUACGGUCGCAAGAUUAAAACUCAAAGGAAUUGACGG
This 900-nucleotide ribosomal RNA is filed under the name uncultured bacterium. RNAcentral's name for it is "bacterial SSU rRNA". It matches the Rfam family "Bacterial small subunit ribosomal RNA", at positions 8 to 916 of the family's 1533-position model. The record is from RNAcentral.